GUAUUCUGGUUUCUCUUCAAAUCGAAUAAAUCUUUCGCUUUUUAUUAAAGAUUUCCGUGGAGAGAAACACUCCUGAGUUUUCGAAGAAUUUUUUGAGGCCUUGUUUUAGCAAGGUU
RNAcentral lists this small nuclear RNA (116 nucleotides) under Catagonus wagneri (Chacoan peccary). Its description in RNAcentral is "U5 spliceosomal RNA (ENSCWAG00000008852.1)". It matches the Rfam family "U5 spliceosomal RNA". From Rfam's summary of the family: U5 RNA is a component of both types of known spliceosome. The precise function of this molecule is unknown, though it is known that the 5' loop is required for splice site selection and p220 binding, and that both the 3' stem-loop and the Sm site are important for Sm protein binding and cap methylation. Lineage: Eukaryota; Metazoa; Chordata; Mammalia; Artiodactyla; Tayassuidae. The record is from Rfam by way of RNAcentral.